AGUUUCUGCCCUAUCAGCUUUGGAUGGUAGGGUAUUGGCCUACCAUGGCGGUAACGGGUAACGGGGAAUUAGGGUUCGAUUCCGGAGAGGGAGCCUGAGAAACGGCUACCACAUCCAAGGAAGGCAGCAGGCGCGUAAAUUACCCAAUCCUAAUUCAGGGAGGUAGUGACAAUAAAUAACAAUGCCGGGCUUUUCAAGUCUGGCAAUUGGAAUGAGAACAAUUUAAAUCCCUUAUCGAGGAUCAAUUGGAGGGCAAGUCUGGUGCCAGCAGCCGCGGUAAUUCCAGCUCCAAUAGCGUAUAUUAAAGUUGUUGCAGUUAAAAAGCUCGUAGUUGGAUUUCUGGAUUGAACGUCCGGUCCGCGUACUUUUGGUGCG
This 375-nucleotide ribosomal RNA is filed under the name Haptoglossa sp. RNAcentral describes it as "SSU rRNA". It matches the Rfam family "Eukaryotic small subunit ribosomal RNA", at positions 302 to 677 of the family's 1831-position model. The record is from RNAcentral. Lineage: Eukaryota; Oomycota; Haptoglossaceae.